This 393-nucleotide unclassified non-coding RNA is filed under the name soil metagenome. Its description in RNAcentral is "partial contains 5.8S ribosomal RNA, internal transcribed spacer 2, and large subunit ribosomal RNA". The stretch from base 1 to 122 matches the Rfam family "5.8S ribosomal RNA", at positions 35 to 154 of the family's 154-position model. The record is from RNAcentral.
GAUGAAGAACGCAGUGAAAUGCGAUACUUGGUGUGAAUUGCAGAAUCCCGUGAACCAUCGAGUCUUUGAACGCAAGUUGCGCCCGAGGCCACUUGGCCGAGGGCACGCCUGCCUGGGAGUCACGCCAAACACGCUCCCACCACUCAUUGGGUUGUGGGAUGCGGCAUGUGGCCCCCCGUCUCGCAAGAGGCUGUGGGCCAAAGAUGUGGCUGCCGGCGUAUCGUGCCGGACACAGCGCGUGGUGGGCGAACUCGCUUUACUUACCGCAGUGCGUUCGGCCCGUAGCCGACGUGAUGGCCUUGGACCCUAUGAACGGGGCGCAUGACGCCCUGACCGCGACCCCAGGUCAGGCUGGACUACCCGCUGAAUUUAAGCAUAUCAAUAAGCGGAGGA